Non-coding RNA from Nothobranchius furzeri (turquoise killifish), 4912 nucleotides. The record is from RefSeq and is a predicted model, not a curated record. Lineage: Eukaryota; Metazoa; Chordata; Actinopteri; Cyprinodontiformes; Nothobranchiidae.
UGUCAAAUUUUGUCCCCUGCACUUUUUACCAUCCAAAAACAAUAUCACGCUAUAUUAAAUAAACGCAGGUUGAGCACUAGGACCAAGCAGAAAACAGUCGUGUUGAAGCCUGUUUCUCAUUAGAACAUACUGUAAAGCGGUAUAAAUGCUGCAAGUUCCGACGUGCAUUCCAUCCACGAGUCUCAUUUCCACCUGGAAUGUACAUGCGUCAAACAUGGUGGCAGUAGUCGGCUGUUUGUCCUUCUCUGAUAUUAUUGAGCAAAGAAUCUCUCACAUCAGUGAUGUUCUGUUGCUAAUACAUAACAAUGUGUGUGUCCGAAUCCACAGGCAGGAUGCUUACAACUACGGGUCCUCGCCGAUCUAGCAAGGCCUGUUCCUGCUAAGAUCGGAACCCAGCGGCUCUGAAUUCGGACAGUCUAGCCUUCACCUCUACGGUGGUCCGUAGGUCCCGUCACAGCCGUGGCGGCAGCUACACGCAAAGAAAAAAUGCUAAAGCUAGCGAAAAUCGAGCAGGAAUAUUAAAGAGCAAGUCAACCCCUACCAGAGUCUAACUCCACUCCCACUUCAUGUUUGAAAAAUGCAACAAAUGCUGUUGCCUGGCAGACCGAGAAGGGGGAGCUGCUAACAAAUACACACACACACAGGCUCAUGACAGCAUUGUGACAUCAUAAUGUACCAGUUUACAUCAUAGCAUACCUCUUAGCCAAUAGCGGUGGUAGAUUUAAAUUAAAAUACAGUGCAGAGUUUUUACCUGACAAUGGCACAACACUGCCAGUUUCAGGCAGAAUAUUUAAAUUUUAACUAAGAUGCACUGAAGUGCCAAAUUAUUGACUACACGUGUCUGCAGCACGAUUAGGCACUCGUUUAUUUAGUUUCUCAGCAAAAAAAGUUUAUUUGGGGGUGACUUGCUCUUUAAGGAGCUACAGCAGCUUCACGUCCAUCAGUGUUUGUUCACAACCGUUUUCAGGUAAAGUAACUUUGUUUAUUCUAGAAGCUUUCAGGACUUACAUGUUAACUUUAGAUUGUUUCAUGUAUGUUUUAAGCUACAGAGUGACCUGAUUAAAUGCACACAACACAUUACUACAGAGUAUUAACAUGUAAACCAAAUGCAUUAUAAGCGUUAAAUGCAUUAGGAUGUUUUCUAAUGUAAAUUGGACCUUAGAACUUCUUAUUUUGCAUCAAAUGGGGGUAAAAUGCUUAAAACAAAACAGGCUUUUAAAUAAAGUAGCAUUGAAGUGUUGUCAAUGAGCAUUUGUUUAUUCAACUUAUGCCUAAUAAUGAUUAGAUCUGUCUUAAAAAUGUAAAUUCUCUGUAGUUUUUAUUUAACUAUUCCCUGCCGCUUUUCUUUAAACUGAACAGAACCAGUGUACUGCAGGUUUUAUGUUUGUUUUACAUUUUUCAAUUAAAUAAACUAUUUUUUAAUAAACCAUUACACUACACAGGUCAGCAUGCACUGUGCUGCACAUCUGCCUCUGUGCUGAAGUUGUGGGUCUGGAGGAUGAGCCUGAGGAAGAUGUGUAUGGAGGAGGUCAGUGGUGCUCUGUCCUGGAGGAGGCACCAGCAGACCACCACUACUGUUAACAGGCAAGUCAUUUAUGUAGAACCUCUAUUAAAAACAACACUGUGGAUUUAUUUGCUGAAGAGUCACAAUUGUUAUACCAGUGGAUCCAUAAACCAUCUCCUCAUUUCAUAUGUCUGAAUACCUCUUAGAGAUGUAACAGCCGUCGUCUGAGCCAGCCCAGCAGUCUCUGUAGAUGGACGAUGGAGUGGACAGUGAGAGGAAGCGUCCCAAAGCUCUCUGCAGACUGUCCUGUAUGAUGUUCCUCUGACCAGAAACGUCCAGCCACGGGUCUGCUCCAGCCCUCCAUCCACGUCUGGAUCCUCCUGCAGCAGAUCCAGCUGCACUGUUAAAGACUUCCUGCUCACUCAGUUUAAAUAAAUGAUCCAGGAAGAGUCACUCAGCCGGCGCGCAAAGCAUGCUGGGAUAGCCUUGUUCUGUGAGGAUACAACAGACCUGUCCUCGAAAUGUGGGCGGAGCGAGGACGCGUUUGAGGACGCGAGAAUGAGUAUUCUUGGAAUUCGGACAGCACUCGUUGCUGUGCUGUGACAUCAUCAAACUCAAAAUGCACUCUUACAAGAAUCCUUCCCGUGGAUUCGGACCGGACACAUAAUAUGUAGUGUGUAAUGAAUGGAGGACCCAAGGAUGUGCAGAGGUGAGGCUAGCGAGAUGGACAACUGCCUGGUCCACUUGUUUUGAUCCAAAACGUGUAAUAGGUGGAGGUUUGUAGACAGAUGUGAGAGAACCACUUUUUUCAUUUUAUUUUACUCUUCAUAAUAAAUUUAUAGCUAUACUAUGUUAGAAAGUUGUUAAGAGGCAUGAAAAAAUGCUUUAAGCUAAUUUGUCUUCCAAAUUUGCUAUUGUAGCUUUAAAAGCUUGUUUUGAGCAUAGUACGUUCUUGCACCAUCAAUUUUUUUUACCACACUUGUGAGUCUCUGGAGUAUGGCUGAUGUGUGUAUGAUCACACAAUAUUUUACAGACACGAACACACCCUCCCAAGGUUUCAACGUUCUCCCACUUCCCUAUUUCUCCUCCCCAUUCUUAGGAGGCGGAGCCUGAAGGCCGCACUGAUUAGUUGCAAACUCUCACUUUCUUGAGAUUCAUGCAAAACAUCUGCUGUUGUAGUCUUGUAGGAAUCAAAGGAAUAGGGAGCCUAAGUCACUUUCGCGCCAUGGGUCCCCAGAAGAACGAAAAAAUGAAUGCAAGUCAAUGGGGCUUAAAACGCUAUUUUCUAAUCCGCUUUGCUUUACGCCCUGGAUCACACAUAUGUUGUACUGCAAUUUAAAUGAAGUGUAAUGAUGGGUGUUUCAACCACGCCAGUCACGCACUUUGAGCUUUAUUAGCUUGUAAAAGUUUGUAAUUAGGGUUAGGGUUAGUGACUACAAUCCAGAAAUAUGUGACGUCACCACAUCUCCUCUCCCCCAAGUAGCUGCUACUUACCAAAUGACCAGAUUUAUGGUGGUUCUUUCCUCCUGUGGGAAGUUUGCUGAACUUACAGCCAUUUUCUCUCAGUUUUCUCCAUGACUGGUUCGAUGACAUCACUUUCGUGAAACGCAUUUGUAGUCCUGGACUUAUUUUCACACAAAACCUAAAAUUGUGUUUCCCUCUGUUUGAAAAUAAGCGCGUUCUUGGUACCAAAAUGCAUCUCUAAAAUUCACGGACAUCAUGUGUAAAAUCCAUGAUGGCACAAAACAAGCAGAGUUAGACAAUAGUGUUUUUAGCCCCAUUCACUUGCAUUCAUUUUUUUGUUCUUCCGGGGACCCAUGAUGCGGAAGUGACUUACCCCCAAAUUCCACUACCUCCGCUCCGGCACGAACUCCGCAGCAAAAUCGGUCCCGUUGUAGUCAUUCAGAGCCAUUCCACUACUGCGGCUGUGCUGCGGCAGUGCGGCGCAGUGCGCCGCCCUCUGUUCCGGCGUCCGGCAAAAAUAGAAUCGAUCCUAUUUUUGCCGGACGCCGGAGCACCUCCGUAGUCAAUGGACAGGAAUCACAACCGCCCAACAGGAAAGGGGGCAAGCACAACUUCCGUUAUUUCACAAUAAAUCGAUAAACAAAAAGCGUUUUUUGUUUCACAUGCACAGGUUUAACAACUUUUAACAACUAUCAAUGGCGGCUGAACUUUAAAUGCACAAAAAUAAGCCAUAAAUACAGUUUCCACUAUCAAAGUAGUCACACUUUGUUGAUCCAAACACUGCUGAUCUCUCAACAAAAAUGAUGGGCAGAUUAAACAGUUCAUUUCGAUGCUUCUCCCACACAACGGGUGUUUGGAUAUAACUUCCGCGUUUAUUGCUUGGACUGCAUCGCAAGAUCUCAAAAAUCCAGCGCAUGCUUGUUUGCGCACCUCAGGUCUCCGUACCGGAGCGGAGCCGUUGUAGAGCGGGUACCAGUAAAAAUUGAGUUCGGAAGCGAGCGGCUGCGGAAGGCGGGGACAGAGCGGAGCGGAGGUAGUGGAAUUUGGGGGUAAGGCUCCCUACACUUACAACUAAAUAAAAAUAUGAAUAUUUUGAACAUACAGCUGCAAAAUAAGAACUACAACAACAACUAAAGAAGAAAGAUAAACAUUGGGUGUGUAUUUAGAUCGCUUUAGUUGUUUGCUUGGAGGGGGAGGAGCUUAAUUAUUCUUCCUGGAAACCAGCCACCAGGGGGCAUGUGCUCAUUUUGAGUCUUAUUUUCCUGGUUCCAAAUGGAACAAGAUCAUGGUUUUACAUAAGGCAUGAAUGAAUGAAUGAUAUUUUUGAAGAGACCUAAACUGUUUCUUCUGAGAGAUUUCAAGUUGCGUUUAUUCUAUAUAUUUCUAUCUAAUGGUUUUACAUCCAUCACAACAACUGGCCUCAUUAAAAUAAUUGUAUUAAUAUUUCCGUUUAGAAAAUCAAAAAUGGAAAUCAGCUAAAGUUAAAAGGUGGUCUGUAGUAAAAUAUGUUCAAAUGUCAAAGAAAACUCUGUUUUUCUAAUAGUUUUGUUUUAAUCUUUCAUGAUACUUUCAGUACAAAUUAUUGCAGAUUAAAACAUCGUUGUGCCCUAAUGGUACUCUGAAAUUAUUUCAGCUGUAACGCCACACUGAAGUCGAUAUGCCGUCCUGUUUCCGUCACACCCAGAUUAAACUAAACAACCGUGUCUUUUACCUCUGAAGAAAUGUUUCAUCCUGGUCAUUCAAUCUUUCAAAUUUUUAUUUUAACAACACCAUUGAGCUUAUCCUUCAUGGCUCUGUGUGUUGACGAGAGCAGUGAGAGUUAAGACAGAACAGUAAAAAGUGGAUAAAAACACUACAAAACCCUUUUAGAGUUGCAAAUAGCGGAGUCUGCUGCUAAAUCCAUGUGUUUUUGUCACUCUGAGGAAAUAAAAAUCUUCAUCUAUA